Molecule: unclassified non-coding RNA, 375 nt
Filed under: uncultured Gammaproteobacteria bacterium
Lineage: Bacteria; Pseudomonadati; Pseudomonadota; Gammaproteobacteria
Description: contains 16S-23S intergenic spacer region
Source: RNAcentral
UCCGGUUUAACACCGGCAGUCCCUUUAGAGUGCCCAACUAAAUGCUGGCAACUAAAGGCAAGGGUUGCGCUCGUUGCGGGACUUAACCCAACAUCUCACGACACGAGCUGACGACAGCCAUGCAGCACCUGUGAACCGGCCCUUGCGGGCGAGGACAUCUCUGCCACUCUUCCAGUCCAUGUCAAGCCUAGGUAAGGUUUUGCGCGUUGCAUCGAAUUAAUCCACAUAAUCCACCGCUUGUGCGGGUCCCCGUCAAUUCCUUUGAGUUUUAACCUUGCGGCCGUACUCCCCAGGCGGUCAACUUCACGCGUUAGCUUCGUUACCAAGGAAUUGCUUCCCCGACAACCAGUUGACAUAGUUUAGGGCGUGGACUAC